GAUGAACGCUGGCGGCGUGCCUAACACAUGCAAGUCGAGCGGUAUAUAGUGGAAUGAAACUUCGGUCGAGUGAAGCUAUAGAGAGCGGCGGACGGGUGAGUAACGCGUAGGCAACCUGCCCCAUACAGAGGGAUAGCCUCGGGAAACCGGGAUUAAAACCUCAUAACGCGAGGAGUUCACAUGGACUUCUCGCCAAAGAUUCAUCGGUAUGGGAUGGGCCCGCGUCUGAUUAGCUAGUUGGUGAGGUAACGGCUCACCUAGGCGACGAUCCGUAACUGGUCUGAGAGGAUGAUCAGUCACACUGGAACUGAGACACGGUCCAGACUCCUACGGGAGGCAGCAGUGGGGAAUAUUGGACAAUGGGCGAAAGCCUGAUGCAGCAACGCCGCGUGAGCGAUGAAGG
This 403-nucleotide ribosomal RNA is filed under the name uncultured bacterium. Its description in RNAcentral is "bacterial SSU rRNA". It matches the Rfam family "Bacterial small subunit ribosomal RNA", at positions 28 to 414 of the family's 1533-position model. The record is from RNAcentral.